UGGGGAAUAUUGGACAAUGGGCGAAAGCCUGAUCCAGCAAUGCCGCGUGAGUGAUGAAGGCCUUAGGGUUGUAAAGCUCUUUUACCGGGGAUGAUAAUGACAGUACCUGGAGAAUAAGCUCCGGCUAACUCCGUGCCAGCAGCCGCGGUAAUACGGAGGGAGCUAGCGUUGUUCGGAAUCACUGGGCGUAAAGCGCACGUAGGUGGAUAGUUAAGUUCGGGGUGAAAUCCCAGGGCUCAACCCUGGAACUGCCUCGGAUACUGGCUAUCUCGAGUCCGGAAGAGGUGAGUGGAAUUCCUAGUGUAGAGGUGAAAUUCGUAGAUAUUAGGAAGAACACCGGUGGCGAAGGCGGCUCACUGGUCCGGUACUGACACUGAGGUGCGAAAGCGUGGGGAGCAAACAGGAUUAGAUACCCCCGUAGUCCCUGAGCGGGCUGGCAAGGCGCAU
This 447-nucleotide ribosomal RNA is filed under the name uncultured bacterium. RNAcentral's name for it is "bacterial SSU rRNA". It matches the Rfam family "Bacterial small subunit ribosomal RNA", at positions 355 to 825 of the family's 1533-position model. The record is from RNAcentral.